AUUGAACGCUGGCGGCAGGCCUAACACAUGCAAGUCGAGCGGAUGAAGGGAGCUUGCUCCUGGUUUCAGCGGCGGACGGGUGAGUAAUGCCUAGGAAUCUGCCUGGUCGUGGGGGAUAACGUCCGGAAACGGGCGCUAAUACCGCAUACGUCCUGAGGGCGAACGUGGGGGAUCUUCGGACCUCACGCUCUCAGCUGACCCUAGGUCGGAUUAGCUAGUUGGUGGGGUAAAGGCCUACCAAGGCGACGAUCCGUAACUGGUCUGAGAGGAUGAUCAGUCACACUGGAACUGAGACACGGUCCAGACUCCUACGGGAGGCAGCAGUGGGGAAUAUUGGACAAUGGGCGAAAGCCUGAUGCAGCCAUGCCGCGUGAGUGAAGAAGGUCUUCGGAUUGUAAAGCACUGUAAGUUGGGAGGAAGGGCAGUAAGUUAAUACCUGGCUGUUUUGACGUUACCAACAGAAUAAGCACCGGCUAACUUCGUG
Molecule: ribosomal RNA, 484 nt
Filed under: uncultured bacterium
Lineage: Bacteria
Description: partial 16S ribosomal RNA
Rfam family: Bacterial small subunit ribosomal RNA
Source: RNAcentral